Molecule: ribosomal RNA, 254 nt
Filed under: Candidatus Fermentithermobacillaceae bacterium
Lineage: Bacteria; Bacillati; Bacillota; Candidatus Fermentithermobacillia; Candidatus Fermentithermobacillales; Candidatus Fermentithermobacillaceae
Description: partial 23S ribosomal RNA
Rfam family: Bacterial large subunit ribosomal RNA
Source: RNAcentral
AUCCACAAUACGAGAGGACCUGGAUGGACGCACCUCUGGUGUACCAGUUGUCGUGCCAACGGCAUAAGCUGGGUAGCCAAGUGCGGAGUGGAUAAGCGCUGAAAGCAUCUAAGCGCCAAGCCCACCCCAAGAUGAGGUUUCCCACGGAGUCAGUCCGGUAAGACCCCUUGAAGACUACAAGGUAGAUAGGCCGGGGGUGUAAGCGUGGCAACACGUUUAGCUGACCGGUACUAAUAGGUCGAGGCCUCGACCCU